GCCCGGAUGGCUCAGUCGGUUGAGCGUCCGGCUUCGGCUCGGGUCACGAUCUCACAGUUUGUGGGUUCGAGCCCCGCAUCGGGCU
This 85-nucleotide transfer RNA is filed under the name Felis catus (domestic cat). It matches the Rfam family "tRNA". Rfam says of the family: Transfer RNA (tRNA) molecules are approximately 80 nucleotides in length. Their secondary structure includes four short double-helical elements and three loops (D, anti-codon, and T loops). Lineage: Eukaryota; Metazoa; Chordata; Mammalia; Carnivora; Felidae. The record is from Rfam by way of RNAcentral.